This 468-nucleotide ribosomal RNA is filed under the name uncultured bacterium. RNAcentral describes it as "partial 16S ribosomal RNA". It matches the Rfam family "Bacterial small subunit ribosomal RNA", at positions 28 to 507 of the family's 1533-position model. The record is from RNAcentral.
GACGAACGCUGGCGGCGUGCUUAACACAUGCAAGUCGAACGGAAAGACCCUGCUUUUGUGGGGUGCUCGAGUGGCGAACGGGUGAGUAACACGUGAGUAACCUGCCCUUGACUUUGGGAUAACUUCAGGAAACUGGGGCUAAUACCGGAUAGGAGCUCCUGCUGCAUGGUGGGGGUUGGAAAGUUUCGGCGGUUGGGGAUGGACUCGCGGCUUAUCAGCUUGUUGGUGGGGUAGUGGCUUACCAAGGCUUUGACGGGUAGCCGGCCUGAGAGGGUGACCGGCCACAUUGGGACUGAGAUACGGCCCAGACUCCUACGGGAGGCAGCAGUGGGGAAUAUUACACAAUGGGCGGAAGCCUGAUGCAGCAACGCCGCGUGCGGGAUGACGGCCUUCGGGUUGUAAACCGCCUUCGCCUGUGACGAAGCGUGAGUGACGGUAAUGGGUAAAGAAGCACCGGCUAACUACGUG